This is a long non-coding RNA of Pseudophryne corroboree (corroboree frog), 2077 nucleotides long. RefSeq lists it as uncharacterized. The transcript is spliced from 4 exons. The record is from RefSeq and is a predicted model, not a curated record. Lineage: Eukaryota; Metazoa; Chordata; Amphibia; Anura; Myobatrachidae.
CCUGCCCAGAGGACAUCACCUGUGCGCAGGACAUUGCCAGCGCACGGACCAUCACCUGUGCAGCAGGCAUCGGCAGCAGCGCGCGGACCAUCACCUGCGCCGCAAGCAUCGGGAGCGCACAUAUCGUCACCUGUGCGCCACAGUUCGUCAACGCGCAGUUUGUCACCUGUGCACCAGACGACAUCAGCGCGCAGAUUAUCACCUGUGCUCCAGACAUCAGCGCACAGAACUUCACCUGUGCGCCAGACACCGUCGGCGACCACACCACAAGAUGGGCGCCAAACUACAGCUCCUGCGCGCAGGCCAUCACCAGAUCGUCGUCUCUCCAGGAGCUCUGAGACUGUGACUGAAGAGCCUCAAGACACAACCCUUGUGGACCCAUCACCCGAUCUGUUUGAGUCUACAGGGUUAACAGACGAGACUUUUCUUGGGUUUGAGGACAGCCGUGCAGACGUAUCCAGCCAGACCCUUGAAAAGUCUUCCGAAACGAGGACACGUAAAGCUCCUGGAGCAGCGGCAUCACAGGAUGGAGAAGUGGUGCCACGGACCAGCAGCGGACUAGCUUCGGGAUUGGUUCCUACUUCAGGCCGGAUCUCCUCAUACAGGAUUCGUCAGAGGAUGACGAGGUGGAAGUGCAGGAGGCUGCAGUUGCUACAUCCCUGUACAUUUUCUGGCAGACAUCCAGGAAGGGCAGAAUCCCUCAACUGUUCAGAGGGUUCACACCCUGGCAUCGGAGAUUGGGACCCGCCAGGAUACGUACACAAAUGUCGUGGGAAGCAGACUGGACAAUAUUGAGAGGACAAUGGAGAAGAUGUCAAACAGUCUGCUUGAACUGCAGAAGACUCUUUCCGACAGCACGGCCACAAUGCUACAGGUCAGAAUGCAAGAUCAGAGGGAUACUAUGGAAGUCCUUCACAUUCUGGCCGAAUCCAUGACCCGGCUCGUGGACAACACCUCAUGUCUGAAAGAAAGCAAUACUAACAUGUCGGAGAGCCAUCGACAAUCUUCAUCCAGCCAACAGGUCAUCGCAACCACACUGCAGAUGAUCUAUGAUAAGCUCCCAGGACCAGCUCAUCAACACGCUGGUGAUCCACCAUAUCCGCCGUCGCAAGCCACAAGGACGCCUCGUACCCUUCCUCAAGUACCAUCCCAGUACAGACAGUCACAGAUGUACCAGGGAUAUACAGGGAUGUAUCCCACCCCCCAGAUGCCUCCACCACCGGCUGCACAAUCUACAGCCGCAUGGGCACAGAGGCCCAGUCAACGUACUACCCAGCCUCCCAGGACAUCGACGCCCCAUCAGGGGGAAGAAGAUAAUCCGGACAGACUUCCACCAUAAACCCGGUCGUAUUGUUUUAUUUAUUUAUAUAUGUUUUUCAUGUAUCCCUUUCUUCCCCUCCCAUUAGUUUUUUUUUCUUUCUUACUAUUGUUUUCUGUGUUGGUCUCCCCCACCCGUGACCGGGUACCACCAAGGAGCUUUGUGUAGGCAUACAUGCGCGGGCAUGUAUGCGGGCGCGUGUGGUAACGGAUGAAAGCUCCUUGUGGCUACAUGUAUGAUGGGCCAAAGAGCUAUUCUGAUACCACUUUUUUCUUCCAAAAAUCCUUUUUGUAAUGGUGUACAGUAGGCUUUCAUUGUGUGAAUUUACUAUUCACUAGUCUGUGUUUUUUACUUAUUCAUAGGAUUGGUGGGAAAAAUGAAGUGGACGGCAUAAGUUCGUGUUGUGCGUACCAAGAUAUCUAUAUACACUGACAAUGCUAAAUUCCUUUGUCGUAUAAACAACCCUUUAUGAGGUCUAAGAACACUGUAUGCUGUUUACUUAAGAAGUACCGUAAGGGUACGCUAGUUGCGUAACGAUCGCUCAGCCGUAGGCGAGACGCUCAAGCGUCACGUUCGCUCACGGCCCAGAGAUCACAGGCAGGCACGCUAUUGGCUGCAGACUAACGUAAUGAUUCGCUAUGGCGUAGCAGACGCUCGAGACCACGAGGAGAUCACCAGCGGCGCAGACGCUCACAACGCUAUACCUUUAUGUCUAAACCUUUUAACAAUGAAAUACACAGAAUACCUUAAUGUGAAUAC